UUAUUUUGAUACAGUGUGUAACCGGAAAUCAGAAAAAAAAGACGAAUCUGCAGAUCUGCAGCGUUUGCACGACACAAACGAGUCAAUUAAAAGUUAAAAAACAUUAAAGAAACGUCAAAUUAUAAGUUCGUUUAGCACCUGGCUGAUAAAGGCACAAGCUCUUACGGUGUGUUCAAGGUGUGUUCAAGGUGUGUUCAGAGUGUGUUUUAUUGGAGCAACGUUAACGUUAAUAAACCUAUGAACCAUCA
This is a long non-coding RNA of Solea senegalensis (Senegalese sole), 248 nucleotides long. RefSeq lists it as uncharacterized. The record is from RefSeq and is a predicted model, not a curated record. NCBI's taxonomy places the organism in Eukaryota, Metazoa, Chordata, Actinopteri, Pleuronectiformes, Soleidae. The transcript has 2 exons.